UACGUAGGGUCCGAGCGUUGUCCGGAAUUAUUGGGUGACGUAAGGGCUCGUAGGCGGUUCGUCACGUCGGGAGUGAAAACUCGGGCUUAACCCCGAGCCUGCUUCCGAUACGGGCAGACUAGAGGUAGGCAGGGGAGAGCGGAACUCCUGGUGUAGCGGUGGAAUGCGCAGAUAUCAGGAAGAACACCGGUGGCGAAGGCGGCUCUCUGGGCCUUACCUGACGCUGAGGAGCGAAAGCGUGGUAGCGAACAGG
RNAcentral lists this ribosomal RNA (253 nucleotides) under uncultured bacterium. Its description in RNAcentral is "partial 16S ribosomal RNA". It matches the Rfam family "Bacterial small subunit ribosomal RNA", at positions 524 to 776 of the family's 1533-position model. The record is from RNAcentral.